GGGCGCAUAGCUCAGUUGGUAGAGCUCCUGUUUUACACACAGGCGGUCAUAGGUUCAAGUCCUGUUGCGCCCA
This 73-nucleotide transfer RNA is filed under the name Waddliaceae bacterium. RNAcentral's name for it is "tRNA-Val". It matches the Rfam family "tRNA". Rfam says of the family: Transfer RNA (tRNA) molecules are approximately 80 nucleotides in length. Their secondary structure includes four short double-helical elements and three loops (D, anti-codon, and T loops). Further hydrogen bonds mediate the characteristic L-shaped molecular structure. tRNAs have two regions of fundamental functional importance: the anti-codon, which is responsible for specific mRNA codon recognition, and the 3' end, to which the tRNAs corresponding amino acid is attached (by aminoacyl-tRNA synthetases). tRNAs cope with the degeneracy of the genetic code in two manners: having more than one tRNA (with a specific anti-codon) for a particular amino acid; and 'wobble' base-pairing, i.e. permitting non-standard base-pairing at the 3rd anti-codon position. Lineage: Bacteria; Pseudomonadati; Chlamydiota; Chlamydiia; Parachlamydiales; Waddliaceae. The record is from RNAcentral.